GGAUUUUCCGCCAAAACCGCAAA
RNAcentral lists this small nuclear RNA (23 nucleotides) under Arabidopsis thaliana (thale cress). RNAcentral describes it as "snRNA_00093". The record is from RNAcentral. Lineage: Eukaryota; Viridiplantae; Streptophyta; Magnoliopsida; Brassicales; Brassicaceae.